UACCAGCACAUGGCUUCCUGUCCUCUGUGUGCUUCUCUCACUCUCACUGGUGACAAACAUGUGCAUGUGCUGGAGGAGACCAAAACAAGGAUGUUUAAGUGCAUCAAAGAAAGUAGAAAGUGCACAGACUGACCAGGGGGAUGAAGCUAAUGAGAUUUCAUAUGCAUCUGUAAUAAUCAAAGCACAAAAUAGAAGCAGAGAACACAAUCCCACACAGGACACAGUGUAUGCAAGAAUUAAAUGAGGAAAUAUUUUUUUACUCCAACAUGUCAAAAUAUCAAUUAAAUUGUAUUCAUUCUGUAAUGUGCAGUAUUGUCAAGCAGCUUUACAAGAGCACUAAAUAAAACUUUUGACAAGCAAGAAAAUUUGACCAACGUGAACUUUGUCAAUCUCAUUUACCACAUGAUAUGUUAUAGGCUACUGUAUGUGGCUUGUGUGUCCUAUCCCCAUUUAACAAAAUAUUUUACUAAUAGAGCACAAAAUUGUUUAUAAGAACAUAAAAUUCCUCAUAUCUAGAAAUUUAUUUUUACUCUCAAAAUGCACCAUAUUGAUGCAUUACAUUGUGGCCCCCCAACCUCACGGCCCCACCCCCAGUCUAAGGAGGGGGAAAAUAAAUUUUGCAGCAAACACCACUCUCAUGCAGUGAAAAAUACAUCGCGGAGCAGAGAGGAGAAUGACAAUGCGCUGACAGACAGGACAGACCAGCAGGGGCGUAAUGUGUGUAAGGCCCUCGUAUCUGGCCACAGUGAUAAGUGAUUAUGAUUUGAAUUUUUUCCAUGCACAUCACUCUCUAGAAGGUUUGGUUUAUUUCAGUUAACUGAGCAUUGCAUUUGCAGGUCAUACACAUACUUCAACAAUUUACGAUUAAUUAAGUAUAACAGUAAACCUUAUAGUCGAUAAUAAUCUGAAAUAAGACCGUCUUUAUGACGUAUGCAGCCUGCAAUGCGAGGCCAACAAAAACAUGCUGGCCGUCAUCAGCAAAAAAGCAGCUGUGGGUAUGCUGUGAACAAGCACAAAAAUUAAGACUAUACAAGUAAAACAUUACAGUGUUUUUAAAUCUUAUUGUGAUUACGUUCAUUAAAAAAUUUAUUCAUAUUAAAUCUUAUGCAUAUUUUUAUGAAGUAAUGAUCGUAACUUUUGCAGGCAGCCAACAUAAGCAUUUACAAACAUGGACAUACGCACAUAUUUCAAGACCAAGACAGAU
Molecule: long non-coding RNA, 1204 nt
Organism: Paramisgurnus dabryanus
Lineage: Eukaryota; Metazoa; Chordata; Actinopteri; Cypriniformes; Cobitidae
Source: RefSeq, a predicted model, not a curated record